RNAcentral lists this ribosomal RNA (500 nucleotides) under uncultured bacterium. RNAcentral's name for it is "partial 16S ribosomal RNA". It matches the Rfam family "Bacterial small subunit ribosomal RNA", at positions 27 to 507 of the family's 1533-position model. The record is from RNAcentral.
GGACGAACGCUGGCGGCGUGCCUAAUACAUGCAAGUCGAGCGAAUCUGAUGGGAGCUUGCUCCUUGAUGAUUAGCGGCGGACGGGUGAGUAACACGUGGGUAACCUGCCUGUAAGACUGGGAUAACUCCGGGAAACCGGGGCUAAUACCGGAUAACUUUUUUCUUCGCAUGAGGGAGAAUUGAAAGAUGGCUUCGGCUAUCACUUACAGAUGGACCCGCGGCGCAUUAGCUAGUUGGUGAGGUAACGGCUCACCAAGGCGACGAUGCGUAGCCGACUUGAGAGGGUGAUCGGCCACACUGGGACUGAGACACGGCCCAGACUCCUACGGGAGGCAGCAGUAGGGAAUCUUCCGCAAUGGACGAAAGUCUGACGGAGCAACGCCGCGUGAGUGAUGAAGGUUUUCGGAUCGUAAAACUCUGUUGUUAGGGAAGAACAAGUAUCGUUCGAAUAGGGCGGUACCUUGACGGUACCUAACCAGAAAGCCACGGCUAACUACGUG